UACGUAGGGACCGAGCGUUGUCCGGAUUCAUUGGGCGUAAAGAGCUCGUAGGCGGUCACUCAAGUUGAAUGUGAAACCUCGAGGCUUAACCUCGAGCCUGCAUUCGAUACUGGGCGGCUAGAGUCUGGUAGGGGGAUCUGGAAUUCCUGGUGUAGCGGUGGAAUGCGCAGAUAUCAGGAGGAACACCGGUGGCGAAGGCGGAUCUCUGGGCCUUACCUGACGCUCAGGCGCGAAAGCUAGGGGAGCGAACUGG
RNAcentral lists this ribosomal RNA (253 nucleotides) under uncultured bacterium. RNAcentral's name for it is "partial 16S ribosomal RNA". It matches the Rfam family "Bacterial small subunit ribosomal RNA", at positions 524 to 776 of the family's 1533-position model. The record is from RNAcentral.